AUUUAUUAAAGAUGGAUAUUUGGACAAGGACGGGAGAUAUGAAUUUAAAAAUGGUGAUAUUUAUGUUGGUAACUUUAAAGAAGGUCAAUUUCAUGGUAAAGGAUAUUACAAAUGGCAUAAUUCAACUCCUUAUGCAAUUUUCGAAGGAUUUUAUAAAAAUGGAAAAAAACAUGGAUUGGGAAAACUAUCAUGCCCCAAUGGAAAAUUAUUAUUUGGUAAUUUCGUAAAUAAUAAUAUGGAAGGCGAGUUUUUAGAAAUAAGUCCCCAGGGGCAUCAAACGAAAGGUAAAACAGACAUAUAUAUAUAUAUAUGUAUUUAUGUAUGUAUGUAUGUAUAUAUGCAUGCAUAUUUGAAAGGUUAUAAAUUUAUUUAUUUUUUUUUAUAUUUUUUUUCAGUUCUGUACAAAAAUGGGCAAUUUAUAAAAAGUAUUGAAAAAAUUAAAGAAGUGUUAGAUACAAAGGAGUAUACCAGUGAUGAUUUAAUUACCUCCCAGAUCUUUUCGGAUCCCGAUGUUUACAAAAGGCUUUAUGAGAUGGAAAAAAAGAAAAAAGCCAAAAUAUUCCUUAAGCUGAAAAGAAAUUAAUUAAACUUAGAAACAAAAAAUUAUAAAAGGGUGUGAUGACGUCUCUUUUUUUUUUUUUUUUUUGUUUUUAUCAUAUGGAUUAAUUUAAAGUUAGUACAUGAGAUAGAAGUAAAGGUUACUUCUUUUUUUUCAGUACAUGAUAAUAAUAUUUCUAUUAUGUUGUCAAUAAUACUAGUGAUAUUAUUUCAUAAACAAAUAUAUAAAAUACGUUUCUCAUUAAUAUAUAUAUAUAUAUAUAUAUAUUAUUUAUUCUACAUUUUCAUAUUUGUGCAAAAUAGUUUUAUGCCAAUUAGUUAAUACACUGCAUAUAUAAAGAAAAAAAAAAAAAUAGUGUCCAAAGGUUCUUCAUGUACAUAUAUAUAUAUAUACAUUUAUGUACACAAUCAUUUUGAGUUAUGAAAAUAAAAAAAAAAGGUGAUACA
This 1005-nucleotide long non-coding RNA is filed under the name Piliocolobus tephrosceles (Ugandan red Colobus). Its description in RNAcentral is "lncRNA (ENSPTEG00000012652.1)". The record is from RNAcentral. Lineage: Eukaryota; Metazoa; Chordata; Mammalia; Primates; Cercopithecidae.